This 383-nucleotide ribosomal RNA is filed under the name uncultured bacterium. Its description in RNAcentral is "bacterial SSU rRNA". It matches the Rfam family "Bacterial small subunit ribosomal RNA", at positions 28 to 418 of the family's 1533-position model. The record is from RNAcentral.
GACGAACGCUGGCGGCGUGCUUAACACAUGCAAGUCGAGCGGAAAGGCCCUUCGGGGUACUCGAGCGGCGAACGGGUGAGUAACACGUGAGGAACCUGCCCCAGACUUUGGGAUAACCUUCGGAACGGAGGCUAAUACCGGAUAUGACAUUCCAUCGCAUGGUGGUUUGCGGAAAGUUUUUCGGUUUGGGAUGGUCUCGCGGCCUAUCAGCUUGUUGGUGGGGUAAUGGCCUACCAAGGCGACGACGGGAGCCGGCCUGAGAGGGCGACCGGCCACACUGGGACUGAGACACGGCCCAGACUCCUACGGGAGGCAGCAGUGGGGAAUAUUGCACAAUGGGCGGAAGCCUGAUGCAGCGACGCCGCGUGAGGGAUGACGGCCUU